Molecule: long non-coding RNA, 4698 nt
Filed under: Canis lupus familiaris (dog)
Lineage: Eukaryota; Metazoa; Chordata; Mammalia; Carnivora; Canidae
Description: lncRNA (ENSCAFG00845027203.1)
Source: RNAcentral
CUUUCACUCUUGCUUGAUAAUCCUAUCUCCACUGAAACACAUCUUGUUUCAUAUUAGCUUCCUCCCAUCUACACCUGUAGUUUGUGAGCUUCUAGGUCUCUCGUGCUGAUGAGUUCAUCACUAAAAUCAGCUAAGAUGAUCCAUAUGGAUGUUUAACACCUUAACUUCACUGUCCCCUAAGCUCUAUAAUUCUAAUAACUCUCAGAAGUUAGUCCAUCUAAAACUUCUUUCUUUUCAUAUCUUGACACAUCUGUAUCCUAAGCAUAUAACCUCAACUCCUCCUCAAGUGGAAUUAAAAGAAAUCACAUUUUUCUUUCCUUCACUCACAAAAGAUGAAGUAUUCCAUAGCUUGCUUUUAUACAUUUCCCAUUUACAUGUACUCACAACUCCACACCUUAGAUUUGCUUAUCAUAGAUACCCUUGUCCUCACUUACAUCGUUAAUCUCUCCUUUGCUUGAUCUUAAAAAUCUUUCUACCUUCACACUCACAUAAACUUAAAAUUUCUCUAAAACUUUCCUGAGAUUUGCUAUCCCGCUAAGUUUUUGAUCCUUCUUUCUUCUUUUAUUGCUAAAUUCCUUUCAAAAAAUCGAAUUCUUCCACUUCCGCAAUGCCUUCUUAUUCUUUAAUCUCUCACAAUCUAAGUAUUACUUCUAUCUUCUCUAAAACUACUCAAUAAAUUGUCAAAAGUGUCCUCCUAGAUAUGAAAUUCAAUGAUCCCUUCUGACUCUUCUUUCUCUUUCAAUUCUGCAAAAUUUGAUUGAUUUGGUUAUGUUCUUCUUGAAUCUUUCUUUGUGAAAUUGUACAUCUCCAGUUACCUUCCUAUUUUAGUGACCUUUUCUUUUUCUCACUUUACUGCCUUACAUUCCUUUUUUUUGUAUAGCCUUUUUAACGAUCUCAUUCCCUUGCUGUUCCAAGCUUUCAAAAAUCUUAUGCAUGUUGAUGACAGUGAAAUCUUCAAUGCUAGCUACCAUUUGUUUCUAAAUCCUAAAAUCCAAUUUACUGACUACUGUCAUAUAAGGCCUCCUGAAUAAUCCUCCAGUUUCUAGCCAUAAAGGAUUAGCUGUGAACAGACUAAAUCUCGCAAUGAGAAAAAGGGUAAAAUCUAUUGCAAUACAAAAAUAAUUGUCUGAAGGCAUUAAAGAGUCAAAAGUCAAAGGACCAAGAUCCCAGAGAGAAGGAAAUACUUUGAGAUGCACCUGACAUCAUGCAUGCCAUCCUCCCUUGAGGCAAUUUGAAAACACAUGAAGCAUGAUUCUUGGGGAACAAAGAAGAAAGAACUGCUAAGAGGGUGAAAUCCGGAGGUCAAGGCCCACCAUGGAAAAGACGCCUUAGUAAACAAUCCAGAUUUUUUGUUGAUGCUGCGGAAUGACCAUACUCUUAAAAAAUAAAAGCAGUAUGAAAACAGAGCAUUUUCAGCUCCAACAAGGUGAUUCCUCUAACUUCAACUUAUACUGGAAGACAAUUACAUCUUCUCUGAAGGAAAACACUAUCCUGAGCCUCUCUAAAUUGUUAUAAAUGAAAUCUCAUAUUUACUUGAAAAUUAAAAGCAUGGCAAGAAGGAGAACCAAACGACUAAAAAUCAAGAGAAAGAAAUAAGGAACUUGAACCUACAGAUGAUUCAGAAAUUACCAAACAUGGACUUUAAAAUUUUAUAAACACAACUAAGUCAUUCAAGAAAAUAGAUUUUUAAAAACAGAAAUUUCUCCCUAGAGAACUGGAAUCUAUUUUUAAAAAGAAUGAGAGAGUAAUUCCAGAAUGAAAAGCAUAAUAACAUGAAAUUAAACACUGAAUAUAAUCAACGGCAUAGCACAACAAAAGAAUGCAGUAGUGAAUAGUAAGUUGGUGGGAAAUACACACAAUGAAACACAGAGAGAAAAUAUAAGAAAUGAGAGAAGAAUGUAAGAGACAUAUGGGACGUGCAAAAGGUCUAUGAUAUAUUUAAUUUAUAUUUCUGGGGAGACUGAAAGAAAGAUGGGGUAGAAGUAAUCUUUGAAAAGAUACAAGCCUGCAAUUUUCUCAAACAACAUUAUCAAGAAGCUUCAUGAGUCUCAACUAUAUAAUUACAAAGAAAAUCACAUAUAGGCUUAAAAUCAUUAAAAUUAUGACCAAAAACAGAAAAAAAAAUUAAGGAUACACAGUGACCUAUUACGUCCUAAGGACAAUAUGAUCAGCAUUCAAAUUUUCGACAUAUACAAUACACAGAAAAGACUACAAUGAUUUAUUUGAAAUGCUAAAAUACAAGAAUUACCAACUUAGAAUUGAAGGAAAAUGUCCUUUAAAAUAAAGAGAAAAUCGAUAGAUUUUUAAGCAAACAAAUAGAACCUGAUUGGAUUCAUUAAAGAAAUACUAUAGGAAGAGUGAAGAAGAAACAAGGAAAAUUAUCUGAACUGGAAUCAUAGUAAUAAUGCAAAAUGCAGAAAGAGCCACUAGAAAGGAUAUUUAGAUAAAUUCACUGUUUGAAACAAUAUUAGUAUUAAUCUAUGAAUUUUUAAUAUAGAAAGAAUUAAAAUACAUAAAAAUAAGCUGAAAGCAGAAUAGGAGUAGAUGGAGUCAAAAUGUUGUGAGAUUCCUGUAUUGCCUAGAAAGUGGUAAAAGAUCAUGCUUAGCUUAGAAUCAAGUAAGUUAAGAAUGCAUUCAUAAUCUCUAGAGUAAAAAUUAAGAGUAAUUACAAUGAAAAUGGAAUAUUCCAACUACUUGAUUAAUCAAAAAAAAGAAGAAAAAAUGUCAAGAUUAAGGAACAUAAGAGGAGAGAUGGAAAACAGGAAAUAGUAUAUAUUUUUGAAAAUAGUUUAUUUAAAUAUAAAUAUAUCACUACUUAUAUGAAAUUAGACUAAAUACUUUAAGUAAAAAGCUAAGAUAGACUAAAAACACAUAUACUCACAAAAACUCUGCUGCUUAUAAGAAACAUGCCUAAGACAUAUUCAUUAAAAUUAUUUUUUAAAAAGGAUAACACAAUUUAUCUUGGAAUAUUACUAAAGAUAAAGAAGAAGAUUCAAAUUUGGAAAAGUCAGCUCAAUAGGAUAACAAUCAAAAUUUAUAUGUGCCUAGUAACGAAGCCCCAAAAUACACAAAACACACACUGAUAGACCAAAAAGGAAUAAUAAGCAAUACAAAAACAAUAGUUGGAUAUUUCAGCACAUCUACUUCAGUGGGUAGAGCCAGCAAACUAAAAUCAUUAAGAUUAUAAGUGUUUUGAACAAUACAAUUCAAAAGCUGAGCUUAAGUGACAUAUGUAAGUAUAGGGCAUCUACCAAAAAUCUACAGCAAACAUCACACUUACUGGUGAAAGGUUGACAGCUUUCUCCUUAAGAUCAUGAACAAGGGACACCUGGGUGGCUCAUCGGUUAGCAUCUGCCUUCAGCUCAGGGUGUGAUCCUGGAGUUCCGGGAUCAAGUCCCACAUUGGGCUCCCUGCAGGGAGCCUGCUUCUCCCUCUGCUUGUGUCUCUGCCUUCUCUCUAUGUCUUUCAUGAAUAAAUAAAUCAAAAUCUUAAAAAAAAAAAAAGAUCGUGAACAAAACAAGGAUAUACCUUCCUACCAUUUCUAUUCAAAAUUGUACUGGAGAUUCUAGCCAGGACAAUUAGUCAAGAAAAAGAAAAUCACCCAGAUUGGAAAGGGCGAAGUUAACAUACCUACCCACUAAUAACAUGAUCUUGUAUAUACAGAAUCAUAAAAAAGCAACAAAAAACCUAUUAAAGGUUAUAAGUUCAGCAAGGUUACAGGGUACAAUACCCACAUAUAAAAAUCAAUCAUUUGUAUAUACUAGCAAUGAAUAUAUAAUAAUUGAAUAAUUGAAAAAUGAAAUAAAACAGUUCUAUUUACAACAGCAUUAAAAAGAAUAAAAUAUUUGGGAAUAAAUCUAACAAAAGAAGUACAAGUCUUGUACAUUGAACAAUACAAAAUGUCAUCUGAAAAAAUUAAGACCUUAAAAAAUGGAAAAUAACCCCAUGCUCAUGGAUCAGAAGACUUAAUUGUUAAUGUGACAAUACUUUCUUGUUAAUUGUUAAGAUGACAAUACUCCCCAAAAUAGUCUAUUUAGUCAGUGCAUUAUCAAAAUCCCAGUGGCCUUUUUUUGCAGUAAAUGACAAGUUGAUCCUAAAGGUGUAUGGAAACUUAAGGGAGUCUACACAGCCAAAAAAAUCUUGAAAAGAGGAGCAAAGUUGGAGAACUCUGGCCCCCCAAUUUUAAAGUUUCCUACAAAGUUAUAGUGUUGUGGGCAGCCCGGGUGGCUCAGAGGUUUAGUGCCACCUUCAGCCCAGGGCCUGAUCCUGGAGACCCGGGAUUGAGUCCCAUGUCGGGCUCCCUGCAUGGAGCCUGCUUCUCCCUCUGCCUGUGUCUUGCCUCUCUCUCUCUCUCUCUCCCUCCCUCUCUGUGUCUCUCAUGAAUAAAUAAAUAAAAUCUUUAAAAAAAAAAACCCAAAGUUACGGUGUUGAAAAAGGAAAGACCUGUAGAUCAGUAGAAUAGAACAAAGAAAUAAACUCUCACAAUUAUGGCCAAUUAAUCUCUGACUAUGAUAUCAAGACAAUUCAGUGGGGAAAAAAUAGUCCUUUCUAUUAGUGCUUCUGGGACAACAGGAUAUCCACAUGCAAAAGAAUAAAUUUAGACUCUUCACACCAUAAAGAAAAAUAAUCUCAAAAUAUGUGAAGGUUUCAUUAUAGGAACUAAUACCAUAAUACUCUUAGAAGAAACUAAAAGUGUAA